RNAcentral lists this ribosomal RNA (497 nucleotides) under uncultured bacterium. Its description in RNAcentral is "partial 16S ribosomal RNA". It matches the Rfam family "Bacterial small subunit ribosomal RNA", at positions 28 to 507 of the family's 1533-position model. The record is from RNAcentral.
GACGAACGCUGGCGGCGUGCCUAAUACAUGCAAGUCGAGCGAACAGAUGAGGAGCUUGCUCCUCUGACGUUAGCGGCGGACGGGUGAGUAACACGUGGAUAACCUACCUAUAAGACUGGGAUAACUUCGGGAAACCGGAGCUAAUACCGGAUAAUAUAUUGAACCGCAUGGUUCAAUAGUGAAAGACGGUUUUGCUGUCACUUAUAGAUGGAUCCGCGCCGCAUUAGCUAGUUGGUAAGGUAACGGCUUACCAAGGCAACGAUGCGUAGCCGACCUGAGAGGGUGACCGGCCACACUGGAACUGAGACACGGGCCAGACUCCUACGGGAGGCAGCAGUAGGGAAUCUUCCGCAAUGGGCGAAAGCCUGACGGAGCAACGCCGCGUGAGUGAUGAAGGUCUUCGGAUCGUAAAACUCUGUUAUUAGGGAAGAACAAAUGUGUAAGUAACUAUGCACGUCUUGACGGUACCUAAUCAGAAAGCCACGGCUAACUACGUG